This 571-nucleotide ribosomal RNA is filed under the name Penicillium commune. RNAcentral describes it as "eukaryotic LSU rRNA". The stretch from base 193 to 345 matches the Rfam family "5.8S ribosomal RNA". Lineage: Eukaryota; Fungi; Ascomycota; Eurotiomycetes; Eurotiales; Aspergillaceae. The record is from RNAcentral.
UGCGGAAGGAUCAUUACCGAGUGAGGGCCCUCUGGGUCCAACCUCCCACCCGUGUUUAUUUUACCUUGUUGCUUCGGCGGGCCCGCCUUAACUGGCCGCCGGGGGGCUUACGCCCCCGGGCCCGCGCCCGCCGAAGACACCCUCGAACUCUGUCUGAAGAUUGAAGUCUGAGUGAAAAUAUAAAUUAUUUAAAACUUUCAACAACGGAUCUCUUGGUUCCGGCAUCGAUGAAGAACGCAGCGAAAUGCGAUACGUAAUGUGAAUUGCAAAUUCAGUGAAUCAUCGAGUCUUUGAACGCACAUUGCGCCCCCUGGUAUUCCGGGGGGCAUGCCUGUCCGAGCGUCAUUGCUGCCCUCAAGCCCGGCUUGUGUGUUGGGCCCCGUCCCCCGAUCUCCGGGGGACGGGCCCGAAAGGCAGCGGCGGCACCGCGUCCGGUCCUCGAGCGUAUGGGGCUUUGUCACCCGCUCUGUAGGCCCGGCCGGCGCUUGCCGAUCAACCCAAAUUUUUAUCCAGGUUGACCUCGGAUCAGGUAGGGAUACCCGCUGAACUUAAGCAUAUCAAUAAGCGGAGG